GUUUCAUGCAAAAUGUGUGGUAGCCCUGUUGUUAGCCACCUGCGACUGAAUGUGUUUUAAUCAAAUUUGUUGAAAAAUGGCAAAAUUCAGUCUAAUUAACAUUCGGUGCGUAAGAAAGCAAUUUUUCACUAAUUAUCACAAUUUUGCAUAAUGGUGGUAACCCUGUCUAUUGUCACCAAAAAUUUCAGAUUUUUGCAGAAAUCGUGCGAAAUUAUGACAAAUUCAAGUUCGGAAAACUGCCCCAAAGAUUGCUACGUUUGAUCAAAUGACAGGCGACAAGUAAAAAAAAAUGCAAAUACGGUCCUAAAAGUGUUGUCACUGCUGAAUUCCAAUCAAUUGUCGAAAAAAUUUGCUAUAAUCCCUAUUUAAAGUGUUCAAAAAUCGUUCAAUUCACUAGGUGACAGAUGUGCAACUAGUUACGACAAACGUCCAGUUGUGUAAAAUAUGCAACCAACAAUACACCUACGUGAUAGCAUUUGGUUUCAACAGGUUGGCAGCUGUCGCAAUAGGGCCCUAGUAGUUCCCCGGGUUCGGCUGGUUGUGUGCUAGGAAUGCUAUAGCUAUAGCAUGCCCCCACGCACACAUUAUUGUGAAUUGUGACGGAUUCGUAUCCUGGGGAUGCCACCACCUGUUGGAUGGGGGUGGUUUGGCACCAGGAGUAUUUCUCAGGGUACAAAAUAAUAUUGUGGACCUGUAAUAAAAUUCUUAUUUCUUUAUAAUAAAUUUGAUGUUUAUA
RNA transcript from Tribolium madens (black flour beetle), 736 nucleotides. RefSeq lists it as uncharacterized. The transcript has 3 exons. The record is from RefSeq and is a predicted model, not a curated record. Lineage: Eukaryota; Metazoa; Arthropoda; Insecta; Coleoptera; Tenebrionidae.